AUUGAACGCUGGCGGCAUGCCUUACACAUGCAAGUCGAACGGCAGCACGGACUUCGGUCUGGUGGCGAGUGGCGAACGGGUGAGUAACAUAUCGGAACAUACCCUAGAGUGGGGGAUAACGUAGCGAAAGUUACGCUAAUACCGCAUACGAUCUAAGGAUGAAAGUGGGGGAUCUUCGGACCUCAUGCUCAUGGAGUGGCCGAUAUCUGAUUAGCUAGUUGGUGAGGUAAGGGUUCACCAAGGCGACGAUCAGUAGCUGGUUUGAGAGAACGACCAGCCACACUGGAACUGAGACACGGUCCAGACUCCUACGGGAGGCAGCAGUGGGGAA
This 331-nucleotide ribosomal RNA is filed under the name uncultured bacterium. RNAcentral describes it as "bacterial SSU rRNA". It matches the Rfam family "Bacterial small subunit ribosomal RNA", at positions 30 to 361 of the family's 1533-position model. The record is from RNAcentral.